Molecule: transfer RNA, 71 nt
Filed under: Ecnomiohyla veraguensis
Lineage: Eukaryota; Metazoa; Chordata; Amphibia; Anura; Hylidae
Description: partial tRNA-Ile
Rfam family: tRNA
About the family: Transfer RNA (tRNA) molecules are approximately 80 nucleotides in length. Their secondary structure includes four short double-helical elements and three loops (D, anti-codon, and T loops).
Source: RNAcentral
GGAAGCGUGCCUGAAAGACAAGGAUCUCCUUGAUAGGGAGAACUAUAUGGGUUCAAACCCCUUCACUUCCU